Molecule: ribosomal RNA, 380 nt
Filed under: uncultured bacterium
Lineage: Bacteria
Description: bacterial SSU rRNA
Rfam family: Bacterial small subunit ribosomal RNA
Source: RNAcentral
AUUGAACGCUGGCGGCAUGCCUUACACAUGCAAGUCGAACGGUAACGCGGGGGCAACCCUGGCGACGAGUGGCGAACGGGUGAGUAAUACAUCGGAACGUACCCAGUAGUGGGGGAUAGCUCGGCGAAAGCCGGAUUAAUACCGCAUACGACCUAUGGGUGAAAGCGGGGGAUCGCAAGACCUCGCGCUAUUGGAGCGGCCGAUGUCGGAUUAGCUAGUUGGUGAGGUAAAGGCUCACCAAGGCUACGAUCCGUAGCUGGUCUGAGAGGACGACCAGCCACACUGGGACUGAGACACGGCCCAGACUCCUACGGGAGGCAGCAGUGGGGAAUUUUGGACAAUGGGCGAAAGCCUGAUCCAGCCAUGCCGCGUGUGUGAAG